This 870-nucleotide long non-coding RNA is filed under the name Nicotiana tabacum (common tobacco). RNAcentral's name for it is "long non-coding RNA (NTAB_LNC008903)". Lineage: Eukaryota; Viridiplantae; Streptophyta; Magnoliopsida; Solanales; Solanaceae. The record is from RNAcentral.
AGUAGACAAGAGGAUCCAUCUAGAAGUGGACAAGAGGAUGCAUGAACAAUUUGCUAGUUUCAUGACCAGAAUGCAACAACAACAACAACAAUAGGUACUUGCUCUGCUGCUUCUUAACAAUUCUUCUUCCUUCUCGGCAUUUCUUCUUCCCUCAUUCUGGACAAUUCUUCUGUCACUUACUCCCUUUCUUCUUAUCAACUUCUCCUUCUUUAACUUUCAUCCUCUUGGUAAUAGACUAUUGGACUGUUUUUUGUUUAUGUGAAAUCUGGAUUUUUGCAAACCUUAGUUUUGUGGGCUUCGGGGGUUUAAUUAGUUGAUAAUAGACUAUUGGGCUUUUUUUGUUUAUGUGAGAUCUGAAUUUUUGCAAACCUUAGUUGUGUGGGCUGCUUCAGGGGCUGCUGCUGCUGCUGAAAUCUGGAUUUUUGCAAACCUUAGUUGUACCGUAGCUGCUUCAGGGGUUGUUGCUGCUGAAAUCUAGAUUUUGCAAACCGUGGUUGUACCGUAGCUGUUUUUUGCAAACCGUGGUUGUACCGUAGCUGUUUUUUGCAAACCUUAGUUGUGUGGGCUGCUGCUGCUGUUUAGUUAGUACUUCUAUGGUUUCUCCUAGUGUUGAUUCAUGACAAUUUAUACUAGUUAAUGAGUGGCCUUGUUGUUGAUCCCAUGUUGGAUGAUCAAAUAUUCCCUCUUAUAUAUAACUUAAGUAGAAAGAUCCCAUGUUUUAUUACCUCUUCAUGUUUAUUAUUUGGAGCAAUUAAUAGAUUGCAAUUUGCAACUAGCUGCAAAUAAGCUAUCCAUAUGAUCUGCUAGAAAAAUUGAGAAGGAUGUAAAUGGAAUAUUGUCACCUGCUGUAACCUUAGCAGGAUAGUUCAA